Molecule: long non-coding RNA, 521 nt
Organism: Ctenocephalides felis (cat flea)
Lineage: Eukaryota; Metazoa; Arthropoda; Insecta; Siphonaptera; Pulicidae
Exons: 3
Source: RefSeq, a predicted model, not a curated record
AGAUCUUUUGGCGUUGGGGUGACACAGGAUUCUAGAAAAAAAUAGCUCGAAGCACAAAAAUUAAUUUUAUACUGAAGAAAUUAAGUUCGAGAGGAAACCAGUUUUUGCUCAUUCGUAACUAGAAUUCUCCGAUUUGGAGCAGCAGACCAUCCUGUUCUAAGACAUCGUCUGCAGUACUCAAUGACAUUAUAUAUGUAUAAAACAAUAGGCGAUGGAGCCUUGCGUCUGUAACGGUGCGUUGCAGCGGUCUCCGCCGUCUGUCAACACCGCAAUUUUGGCAACAACAACAACAACAACCAUUCUAGAUAUUGUUGCUGGAACACCCACAGUUGCAACCAGCAACAACAACAACGGGAGCGAAAGUCCUCCGGCAACCGAGGCUGUCCAGAAAUCCGGCAACACGGGCAACUUCUCCGGAAAAAAAUCGACAGGGGACGAGGGAAAGGAUAAAAAUGAUACAGUGGUAAAUGAUAUAGGGGCAAAUGAUACAGUGGUAAGUGAUAUUGGAAUAAAUGACACAG